This 253-nucleotide ribosomal RNA is filed under the name uncultured bacterium. RNAcentral's name for it is "partial 16S ribosomal RNA". It matches the Rfam family "Bacterial small subunit ribosomal RNA", at positions 524 to 776 of the family's 1533-position model. The record is from RNAcentral.
UACGUAGGGGGCAAGCGUUGUCCGGAAUCAUUGGGCGUAAAGAGCGUGUAGGCGGCCCGGUAAGUCCGCUGUGAAAGUCGGGGGCUCAACCCUCGGAUGCCGGUGGAUACUGUCGGGCUCGAGUACGGAAGAGGCGAGUGGAAUUCCUGGUGUAGCGGUGAAAUGCGCAGAUAUCAGGAGGAACACCGAUGGCGAAGGCAGCUCGCUGGGACGGUACUGACGCUGAGGCGCGAAAGCGUGGGGAGCAAACAGG